CGGCGGACGGGUGAGUAACACGUGGGUAAUCUGCCUUAUACAGGGGGAUAACAGUUAGAAAUGACUGCUAAUACCGCAUAAGCGCACGGAAACGCAUGUUUCAGUGUGAAAAACUCCGGCAGUAUAAGAUGAGCCCGCGUCUGAUUAGCUUGUUGGUGGGGUAACGGCCUACCAAGGCGACGAUCAGUAGCCGGCCUGAGAGGGUGAACGGCCACAUUGGGACUGAGACACGGCCCAAACUCCUACGGAAGGCAGCAG
This 258-nucleotide ribosomal RNA is filed under the name uncultured bacterium. RNAcentral's name for it is "partial 16S ribosomal RNA". It matches the Rfam family "Bacterial small subunit ribosomal RNA", at positions 96 to 354 of the family's 1533-position model. The record is from RNAcentral.